CCUACGGGUGGCAGCAGUGAGGAAUAUUGGUCAAUGGACGAGAGUCUGAACCAGCCAAGUAGCGUGAAGGAUGACUGCCCUAUGGGUUGUAAACUUCUUUUAUAUGGGAAUAAAAUGUUCCACGUGUGGGCUUUUGUAUGUACCAUAUGAAUAAGGAUGGGCUAACUCCGUGCCAGCAGCCGCGGUAAUACGGAGGAUCCGAGCGUUACCCGGAUUUAUUGGGUUUAAAGGGAGCGUAGGUGGAUUUUUAAGUCAGUUGUGAAAGUUUGAGGGUCAACCGUAAAACUGCAGUUGAAACUGGCAGUCUAGAGUAUAGUAGAGGUAUGCGGAAUGCGUGGUGUAGCGGUGAAAUGCUUAGAUAUCACGAAGAACUCCGAUUGCGAAGGCAGCAUACUGG
This 397-nucleotide ribosomal RNA is filed under the name uncultured bacterium. Its description in RNAcentral is "partial 16S ribosomal RNA". It matches the Rfam family "Bacterial small subunit ribosomal RNA", at positions 338 to 732 of the family's 1533-position model. The record is from RNAcentral.